RNAcentral lists this ribosomal RNA (540 nucleotides) under uncultured Halomonas sp. Its description in RNAcentral is "bacterial SSU rRNA". It matches the Rfam family "Bacterial small subunit ribosomal RNA", at positions 259 to 791 of the family's 1533-position model. Lineage: Bacteria; Pseudomonadati; Pseudomonadota; Gammaproteobacteria; Oceanospirillales; Halomonadaceae. The record is from RNAcentral.
AACGGCUCACCAAGGCGACGAUCCGUAGCUGGUCUGAGAGGAUGAUCAGCCACAUCGGGACUGAGACACGGCCCGAACUCCUACGGGAGGCAGCAGUGGGGAAUAUUGGACAAUGGGGGCAACCCUGAUCCAGCCAUGCCGCGUGUGUGAAGAAGGCUUUCGGGUUGUAAAGCACUUUCAGUGGGGAAGAAGGCUUUCCGGUUAAUACCCGGGAAGAAGGACAUCACCCACAGAAGAAGCACCGGCUAACUCCGUGCCAGCAGCCGCGGUAAUACGGAGGGUGCGAGCGUUAAUCGGAAUGACUGGGCGUAAAGCGCGCGUAGGCGGCUUGGUAAGCCGGUUGUGAAAGCCCCGGGCUCAACCUGGGAAUGGCAUCCGGAACUGUCAGGCUAGAGUGCAGGAGAGGAAGGUAGAAUUCCCGGUGUAGCGGUGAAAUGCGUAGAGAUCGGGAGGAAUACCAGUGGCGAAGGCGGCCUUCUGGACUGACACUGACGCUGAGGUGCGAAAGCGUGGGUAGCAAACAGGAUUAGAUACCCUGGU